UGGUAAACAACAUUAAUAAUUAAAUUAUUUUUUCAGUUGGGUUUUCCCAAUAAUAAACGAGGGAAGAAAACUAGUUUUAAAGGAAGAAGAUUUAUACAAAUGUUCAAAAUAUCAUACUUCGGAGUAUCUUGGCGAUCUGCUACAGAAAGAAUGGAACCAGGAAUUGCAGAAGAAGAAUUCGAGCAUACUGAAAGCUUUAUUACGUUUCGUUGGUUGGAAAUACUUAGUAGUUAUUCUACUUGUACUCAUUCAGAUGACAGCGUUAGUUGCAGGCCAAGCAUACUUCGUAGGAUUAAUAAUAAAUUAUUUUGAGAACAGAGAGGAAAUGAAUCAAUACAAGAUCUAUGCUACACUUGCGGGAUUUUUUAUUCUACUUGCGAUAUAUUUAUGUAUAUAUAAUAUUAGUGCAUUUAUAACUGAAUUAUAUGGAAUGAAGUUAAAGAUAGCUUUCUGCACUCUUAUAUAU
Centruroides sculpturatus (bark scorpion) is the source of this 466-nucleotide long non-coding RNA. RefSeq lists it as uncharacterized. The record is from RefSeq and is a predicted model, not a curated record. Lineage: Eukaryota; Metazoa; Arthropoda; Arachnida; Scorpiones; Buthidae. The transcript is spliced from 3 exons.